Molecule: non-coding RNA, 89 nt
Organism: Canis lupus familiaris (dog)
Lineage: Eukaryota; Metazoa; Chordata; Mammalia; Carnivora; Canidae
Source: Rfam
AUGUGUGCAGUGCUCUGCUGAGGAAGGUGCUCAUUGCAUUCAUUCAUAAGAGUAAUUAGGACCUCCCUGAGCGGAGUAAUGCUCACCUG